This 283-nucleotide long non-coding RNA is filed under the name Lathyrus oleraceus (garden pea). RNAcentral describes it as "Pisum sativum (pea) long non-coding RNA (PSAT_LNC010274)". Lineage: Eukaryota; Viridiplantae; Streptophyta; Magnoliopsida; Fabales; Fabaceae. The record is from RNAcentral.
AGAUAGUCUUUGAACUAAUUCUAUUUUAGUGGAUUUCCUUCCUGGCUUGGUAGCCCCCAGACGUAGGUGAGUUGCACCGAACUGGGUUAACAAUUGCUUGUGUGAUUUGUUUUACCAUUUUGUUUUUGUUUAUCCAUUGUUUAUAACCAGAUAUCAGUGUCGUGACAUUACCUUCGACAUCUUAUAUCUGAUACCAGAAUUUCAUGCUCAACUAGAGAAAACACCACAAAAAGGAGGAAUGUUCGAAGUGAAUGGCCUAGACCAUGUGAGUGCUAAAGUCGAU